This 253-nucleotide ribosomal RNA is filed under the name uncultured bacterium. RNAcentral's name for it is "partial 16S ribosomal RNA". It matches the Rfam family "Bacterial small subunit ribosomal RNA", at positions 524 to 776 of the family's 1533-position model. The record is from RNAcentral.
UACGUAGGGUGCAAGCGUUAAUCGGAAUUACUGGGCGUAAAGCGUGCGCAGGCGGUCGUGCAAGACAGAUGUGAAAUCCCCGGGCUCAACCUGGGAACUGCAUUUGUGACUGCACGGCUUGAGUGCGGCAGAGGGGGAUGGAAUUCCGCGUGUAGCAGUGAAAUGCGUAGAUAUGCGGAGGAACACCGAUGGCGAAGGCAAUCCCCUGGGCCUGCACUGACGCUCAUGCACGAAAGCGUGGGGAGCAAACAGG